RNAcentral lists this ribosomal RNA (253 nucleotides) under uncultured bacterium. RNAcentral describes it as "partial 16S ribosomal RNA". It matches the Rfam family "Bacterial small subunit ribosomal RNA", at positions 524 to 776 of the family's 1533-position model. The record is from RNAcentral.
AACAGAGGGGGCGAGCAUUAUCGGUGUUGACUGGGCGUAAAGGGUGCGUAGGCGGGUCUUUAAGUCAGGGGUGAAAUCCUGGAGCUCAACUCCAGAACUGCCUUUGAUACUGAAGAUCUUGAGUUCGGGAGAGGUGAGUGGAACUGCGAGUGUAGAGGUGAAAUUCGUAGAUAUUCGCAAGAACACCAGUGGCGAAGGCGGCUCACUGGCCCGAUACUGACGCUGAGGCACGAAAGCGUGGGGAGCAAACAGG